UGGCGUCCCCAAGGGGAUUCGAACCCCUGUCGCCGCCGUGAAAGGGCGGUGUCCUGGACCGGGCUAGACGAUGGGGACG
Molecule: transfer RNA, 79 nt
Filed under: Desulforapulum autotrophicum HRM2
Lineage: Bacteria; Pseudomonadati; Thermodesulfobacteriota; Desulfobacteria; Desulfobacterales; Desulfobacteraceae
Description: Desulfobacterium autotrophicum HRM2 tRNA-Glu
Source: RNAcentral